UCCCAGUUCUCAGACUGUUUACAGACUAACUCUGACACAAAUAUCAUCUGGAAGAGUACAGUUAUGUUUGAAAAGCCAAAAAUAAAUUUACAACUAAGCAAAAAAAGAUAAAUUAAAACCCAAUCCCACUGUACCUUGUAAAAAAAAGAGAGAAACAUAUAAAAAGCAAUAAUUAAAAAAAAAAAAAAGAAAAGACUGAAAGCUGAGAGAACAAAAAGAAGGAAGCAGAAUUUAAGGAUCAGAGGGCAGAGAGACAAAGAAGGCAAAUCCAUAGCAGAAAACUUGAGAAUAGAAGAAAAAAGGGCAAGCAAGAAAGGGCUACAGGAGUAGAAGCUACAACAAAGAAAAAAAGUUUUCAGGAACGUAUGUGUGCGUGUGUGUUGUUGUUUUAUGUGUAAGAGAGACAAUCAAAGCUGAUUCAUUGCAUCUGCUGAUGAAAUUCAGUGAGAUCUGUCUAGAGGGCUGGGAAGAAAAAUUGAGUAAUUAGAUAGAGAAUCAAAACAUAGGGUGAUUAUGAGAGAAUUCGCCCUCCAGCAUUGGGGGAUGGUGUGAAUUUUCAGGUAUGAGGAUAUAUAUGGGGCUACAGAGAGAAAAAAUUAUUUCCUGAAUAAGAUUGGAGAAGAUGGCUAUGUCUAGGCUUGGGAUCUUGAUUUUCCUGUAAUACUGGGAUAAGAAUGAAAAUGAAGGAAACCAUCACACUUGGCUUAUGGCUGGAGUAGCAUUUAAGCUCUGUCUCUAGUAAACAAUUUCACCAAUUAUGCAAUAAAAAAUUAUGUGAACCUGGCACCCAGAUCUGGAACUCCCAGUUGCUCUCAGUGCCAAAGGUCAAUCCAAUGUGUC
This 840-nucleotide long non-coding RNA is filed under the name Pan troglodytes (chimpanzee). Its description in RNAcentral is "long non-coding RNA NONPTRT011864". The record is from RNAcentral. Lineage: Eukaryota; Metazoa; Chordata; Mammalia; Primates; Hominidae.